AAAUUGAAGAGUUUGAUCAUGGCUCAGAUUGAACGCUGGCGGCAGGCCUAACACAUGCAAGUCGAACGGUAACAGGAGUCAGCUUGCUG
Molecule: ribosomal RNA, 89 nt
Filed under: Escherichia coli
Lineage: Bacteria; Pseudomonadati; Pseudomonadota; Gammaproteobacteria; Enterobacterales; Enterobacteriaceae
Description: partial 16S ribosomal RNA
Rfam family: Bacterial small subunit ribosomal RNA
Source: RNAcentral